AGUGAACGCUGGCGGUAGGCCUAACACAUGCAAGUCGAACGGCAGCACAGUAAGGGCUUGCUCUUACGGGUGGCGAGUGGCGGACGGGUGAGGAAUACAUCGGAAUCUACUUUUUCGUGGGGGAUAACGUAGGGAAACUUACGCUAAUACCGCAUACGACCUACGGGUGAAAGCAGGGGAUCUUCGGACCUUGCGCGAUUGAAUGAGCCGAUGUCGGAUUAGCUAGUUGGCGGGGUAAAGGCCCACCAAGGCGACGAUCCGUAGCUGGUCUGAGAGGAUGAUCAGCCACACUGGAACUGAGACACGGUCCAGACUCCUACGGGAGGCAGCAGUGGGGAAUAUUGGACAAUGGGCGCAAGCCUGAUCCAGCCAUACCGCGUGGGUGAAGAAGGCCUUCAGGUUGUAAAGCCCUUUUGUUGGGAAAGAAAAGCAGCAGGUUAAUACCCCGCUGUUCUGACGGUACCCAAAGAAUAAGCACCGGCUAACUUCGUG
RNAcentral lists this ribosomal RNA (492 nucleotides) under uncultured bacterium. RNAcentral's name for it is "partial 16S ribosomal RNA". It matches the Rfam family "Bacterial small subunit ribosomal RNA", at positions 29 to 507 of the family's 1533-position model. The record is from RNAcentral.